GAUGAACGCUAGCGAUAGGCCUAACACAUGCAAGCGAGGGGCAGCACAUGAGUAGCAAUACGAUGGUGGCGACCGGCGCACGGGUGAGUAACACGUAUGCAACCUACCUCUAACAGGGGGAUAACCCGUUGAAAGACGGACUAAUACCCCAUAAUACAGGGGCUCCGCAUGGAGAUAUUUGUUAAAGAUUUUAUCGGUUAGAGAUGGGCAUGCGUUCCAUUAGCUAGUUGGUGAGGUAACGGCUCACCAAGGCGACGAUGGAUAGGGGAACUGAGAGGUUUAUCCCCCACACUGGAACUGAGACACGGUCCAGACUCCUACGGGAGGCAGCAGUGAGGAAUAUUGGUCAAUGGAGGCAACUCUGAACCAGCCAAGUCGCGUGAAGGAUGAAGGUCUUAUGGAUUGUAAACUUCUUUUGCAGGGGAAUAAAUAGCGGUACGUGUACCGUUUUGCAUGUACCCUGCGAAUAAGGAUCGGCUAACUCCGUG
This 488-nucleotide ribosomal RNA is filed under the name uncultured bacterium. RNAcentral describes it as "bacterial SSU rRNA". It matches the Rfam family "Bacterial small subunit ribosomal RNA", at positions 28 to 507 of the family's 1533-position model. The record is from RNAcentral.